UACGUAGGUGGCAAGCGUUUGUCCGGAUUUAUUGGGUUUAAAGGGUGCGUAGGCGGUUCUAUAAGUCAGUGGUGAAAUCCGGCAGCUCAACUGUCGAUGUGCCAUUGAUACUGCGGUGCUUGAGGACUGGAGAGGAGACUGGGAAUUUACGGUGUAGCAGUGAAAUGCGUAGAGAUCGUAAGGAAGACCAGUGGCGAAGGCGAAUCUCUGGACAGUUACUGACACUGAGGCACGAAGCCAGGGGAGCAAACGGG
Molecule: ribosomal RNA, 254 nt
Filed under: uncultured bacterium
Lineage: Bacteria
Description: partial 16S ribosomal RNA
Rfam family: Bacterial small subunit ribosomal RNA
Source: RNAcentral